GAUGAACGCUGGCGGCGUGCCUAAUACAUGCAAGUCGAGCGAACAGACGAGGAGCUUGCUCCUCUGACGUUAGCGGCGGACGGGUGAGUAACACGUGGAUAACCUACCUAUAAGACUGGGAUAACUUCGGGAAACCGGAGCUAAGACCGGAUAAUAUAUUGAACCGCAUGGUUCAAUAGUGAAAGACGGUUUUGCUGUCACUGAUAGAUGGAUCUGCGCCGCAUUAGCUAGUUGGUAAGGUAACGGCUUACCACGGCAACGAUGCGUAGCCGACGUGAGGGGGUGAGCGGCCACACUGGAACUGAGACACGGUCAAGACCCCGACGGGAGGGAGCAGUAGGGAAGCGGCCGCAAUGGGCGAAAGCGUGACGGAGCAACGCCGCGUGAGUGAUGAAGGUCUUCGGCUCGUAAAACUCUGUUACUAGGGAAGAACAAAUGUGUAAGUAACUAUGCACGUCUUGACGGUACCUAAUCAGAAAGCCACGGCUAACUACGUG
This 497-nucleotide ribosomal RNA is filed under the name uncultured bacterium. RNAcentral describes it as "partial 16S ribosomal RNA". It matches the Rfam family "Bacterial small subunit ribosomal RNA", at positions 28 to 507 of the family's 1533-position model. The record is from RNAcentral.